Molecule: long non-coding RNA, 1469 nt
Organism: Myotis daubentonii (Daubenton's bat)
Lineage: Eukaryota; Metazoa; Chordata; Mammalia; Chiroptera; Vespertilionidae
Source: RefSeq, a predicted model, not a curated record
UUCCAGCUUCACAUCCUUGCCAACACCUAUUACCUGACUUUUUUAUUAUAGGCAUCCUAGUGGGUAUAAAGCGAUAUGUCAUGGAAACCAUUACUGACUUGACUUUGAUUUUCCUCUGUGCAGUUCCUCUGCUAUAGACACACAAUCACUAAGUAGUAGUAUUGUUUGGUAAUAACUAGAAUUAUUACAAUUACUGACAUCAAUAAGGAAAAGUAGGAGAAACGUAUACCUAUGUGAACAGGAUGGUACCCAGGGAAACUUAACCCCCCUUUUCCUGAGGGUUAAAGCCGAGCUGAGGAGAGAGAUUCCCUCCCCAAAGCCAACCCGAGCGAUUGGGGAACACAGAUGCAAAGUCCUCCCGCACUCCUAGAGAGACCCUCGCAGCGCAGCCCAGUCCCGGAAGGCGGAUGUUGGCGCGCUUCCGGCUUCUGUGACCACACAAACAAACGCACAGCCUGGGUUUGGGGGAGCCGAGUGCUUGGGACCAAUAUUCCCAGUCACCUCCCUUUUGUAUCCCAGCGACCCCAGAGUGCUCCGGGGUUCACGGGGAGACGUGGGUCCGACGGGGAGGACAGAAGUGGCUAUGUACGGCCAUGUCGCGCGAUCCGACCCCCCACCCCACGAGCGCCCUGUGGAGGAGGUCCACGGCCCUAUCCCGCAUCCCAGCCGCAGCUGUGGGAAGCGCCGCCAUCUCCCCAGCCCUGGAGCUAAGCAGAAAUUGUCGUUUCCGGUCUAGGAGGAGCCGUUUCUGGGGCCGGGAAGAGGCAGCCUCGUCCUGGGUGUUCACCCCAAGGGGUGGAGUGCAGAAAGGACCCUGGUUUAACGUUUGUGCUCCCCACGGAAGCAUUCCAUGUGCUGUCCUUCUGGCGCAAGGAAAGAUGCAGUAUGGCAAGUUUCUGGAAAUCAGCUGUUUAAAAUGGAAGAGGCUGCCUUAGAAGGCAACGAACUCCCCAUCAUUGAAAGGAUUUCAUGCAAAAACUGGAUAGUCCGUUGCCAGGAAAUGCUUUCUCCAGUUCAACAGUUAUUAAGCCUUGUUACACGCACAUGCUUACAAAUUGAAUGGGGAUUCUUCCACUGGGUUUGAUGCUCCCAUGAGACCCAUUAUAAUUCUAAGAUUCUAUAAUUGUAUUAUUUUAUCAUAUAUUUGACCAAAACUGUUAUUCACACAGAUGAGAACAAGUUUCACCACUCUGUAAUGUUUGAUGUUUAUAAGACAGUAUAGUUUAGUGCUUAAGAGCUUAGCUUUUGGAGGAAACGUGAUCUGGGUUCAAAUGCUAUUGUACACAGAGGGCCGUGUGAUUUUGGGCGAAUGAAUGAACUAUUCUGAACCUCAGUUUUUCCCAACUGUAAAAUGAGUGCUAAUAAGUGAAACCACCUCAUAAUGUUGUGAAGAUUGAGAUGAUCUGCAUAAAGCAUUUAGCAUGUUUAAAACAUGAUAAAUGCUCAAUAAAUGUUAACACCAAGCUUUA